CGAAAAACAAAUAUGUAAAUCAUAAACAAACGACAACCACUGAACUACAGGCUCCUGACUUGACACAGUCAAAUACAUACAUGAUGUGGCGGGGUUAAACCUGUUAGUGGGAGCCUAACCCUCCCCUCACCUGAAACAGUGGUAUAACAGUACAACAUAAGAAAGAACUAUACAAAUCGGUUGAAAAAGGCUUAACUCAGCAGAUGGAAAAAAAUACAAGUGGACAUUUCCCGGUAAUUGAACAUCCCGACAACAAAAAGACACUAGGAAAAGAUCUGAGAGUACUCGCAGUUAACUGACUAAUAAUUCAAAGCCACA
RNAcentral lists this long non-coding RNA (318 nucleotides) under Mytilus galloprovincialis (Mediterranean mussel). The record is from RNAcentral. Lineage: Eukaryota; Metazoa; Mollusca; Bivalvia; Mytilida; Mytilidae.